RNAcentral lists this ribosomal RNA (427 nucleotides) under uncultured bacterium. Its description in RNAcentral is "partial 16S ribosomal RNA". It matches the Rfam family "Bacterial small subunit ribosomal RNA", at positions 355 to 774 of the family's 1533-position model. The record is from RNAcentral.
UGGGGAAUAUUGCACAAUGGGCGCAAGCCUGAUGCAGCCAUGCCGCGUGUAUGAAGAAGGCCUUCGGGUUGUAAAGUACUUUCAGCGGGGAGGAAGGCGAUAAGGUCAAUAACCUUGUCGAUUGACGUUACCCGCAGAAGAAGCACCGGCUAACUCCGUGCCAGCAGCCGCGGUAAUACGGAGGGUGCAAGCGUUAAUCGGAAUUACUGGGCGUAAAGCGCACGCAGGCGGUCUGUCAAGUCGGAUGUGAAAUCCCCGGGCUCAACCUGGGAACUGCAUUCGAAACUGGCAGGCUAGAGUCUUGUAGAGGGGGGUAGAAUUCCAGGUGUAGCGGUGAAAUGCGUAGAGAUCUGGAGGAAUACCGGUGGCGAAGGCGGCCCCCUGGACAAAGACUGACGCUCAGGUGCGAAAGCGUGGGGAGCAAACA